This 1450-nucleotide ribosomal RNA is filed under the name Salmonella enterica subsp. enterica serovar Typhimurium. Its description in RNAcentral is "bacterial LSU rRNA". It matches the Rfam family "Bacterial large subunit ribosomal RNA", at positions 1 to 1397 of the family's 2925-position model. The record is from RNAcentral. Lineage: Bacteria; Pseudomonadati; Pseudomonadota; Gammaproteobacteria; Enterobacterales; Enterobacteriaceae.
GGGUUGUGAGGUUAAGCGACUAAGCGUACACGGUGGAUGCCCUGGCAGUCAGAGGCGAUGAAGGGCGUGCUAAUCUGCGAUAAGCGCCGGUAAGGUGAUAUGAACCGUUAUAACCGGCGAUACCCGAAUGGGGAAACCCAGUGUGAUUCGUCACACUAUCAUUAACUGAAUCCAUAGGUUAAUGAGGCGAACCGGGGGAACUGAAACAUCUAAGUACCCCGAGGAAAAGAAAUCAACCGAGAUUCCCCCAGUAGCGGCGAGCGAACGGGGAGGAGCCCAGAGCCUGAAUCAGCAUGUGUGUUAGUGGAAGCGUCUGGAAAGGUGCGCGAUACAGGGUGACAGCCCCGUACACAAAAGCGCAUGUGCUGUGAGCUCGAUGAGUAGGGCGGGACACGUGGUAUCCUGUCUGAAUAUGGGGGGACCAUCCUCCAAGGCUAAAUACUCCUGACUGACCGAUAGUGAACCAGUACCGUGAGGGAAAGGCGAAAAGAACCCCGGCGAGGGGAGUGAAAAAGAACCUGAAACCGUGUACGUACAAGCAGUGGGAGCACCCUUCGGGGUGUGACUGCGUACCUUUUGUAUAAUGGGUCAGCGACUUAUAUUCUGUAGCAAGGUUAACCGUAUAGGGGAGCCGGAGGGAAACCGAGUCUUAACCGGGCGUUAAGUUGCAGGGUAUAGACCCGAAACCCGGUGAUCUAGCCAUGGGCAGGUUGAAGGUUGGGUAACACUAACUGGAGGACCGAACCGACUAAUGUUGAAAAAUUAGCGGAUGACCUGUGGCUGGGGGUGAAAGGCCAAUCAAACCGGGAGAUAGCUGGUUCUCCCCGAAAGCUAUUUAGGUAGCGCCUCGUGAAUUCAUCUCCGGGGGUAGAGCACUGUUUCGGCUAGGGGGCCAUCCCGGCUUACCAACCCGAUGCAAACUGCGAAUACCGGAGAAUGUUAUCACGGGAGACACACGGCGGGUGCUAACGUCCGUCGUGAAGAGGGAAACAACCCAGACCGCCAGCUAAGGUCCCAAAGUCAUGGUUAAGUGGGAAACGAUGUGGGAAGGCCCAGACAGCCAGGAUGUUGGCUUAGAAGCAGCCAUCAUUUAAAGAAAGCGUAAUAGCUCACUGGUCGAGUCGGCCUGCGCGGAAGAUGUAACGGGGCUAAACCAUGCACCGAAGCUGCGGCAGCGAACGUAUCACCCAAGACAACUUUACGGAGUUGACGAUUGACGGAGCGAAGCGACGUCAAAGCGUUCAUUAAAGUCGAGUUGGCUUAGGGAUACGUUCGUUGGGUAGGGGAGCGUUCUGUAAGCCUGUGAAGGUGUGUCGUGAGGCAUGCUGGAGGUAUCAGAAGUGCGAAUGCUGACAUAAGUAACGAUAAAGCGGGUGAAAAGCCCGCUCGCCGGAAGACCAAGGGUUCCUGUCCAACGUUAAUCGGGGCAGGGUGAGUCGACCCCUAAGGC